Molecule: long non-coding RNA, 929 nt
Filed under: Polistes fuscatus (common paper wasp)
Lineage: Eukaryota; Metazoa; Arthropoda; Insecta; Hymenoptera; Vespidae
Description: uncharacterized LOC122515463
Source: RNAcentral
UCGAUCGGGUUCGAACACACUCCUCCUCGGCUUUUCCAUACUUUUCUCGGCUUUCCCGUCCUGGAAAGGACGGAUUUACAUUCCUUCGAAGAGAACCCUUGAAAAACGAACGAGUUGGUACGUAAGGAAGUGGCGGCAUUGCGUUUUGCAUUGUCUUUCAGAUUGGAGAUAACGCUGCUCGGUGUUAAGACGUUAAAAGGAAAUGUUAGGGUUCGAAGUGCGCGUCCGAUUGACUAACGUCAUCGUCGAUCGGAAGGAUUUGACUUUAGAAAAGUAGAGCGAACGUCGAUAACGAUUUACCCUGGUGUAACGUUUGGGAGCACAAAUUCUCAAGGAUCGAUCAAAAGCUCGAGCAAGUUAUAACAGAGGAGCCGACGAACGACGAGGGCAAGGAUAGAAAGGGUCCUUCCUUCUUUCUUUCUUUCACAUCCCCGAGGAGUAACUAACUGAACGAGAGUCGGGAUAGAGGGUGUUAAGGAACCAACGUACGCCACACACGUAUGCGAACGUCGUAGGAGAGAACGAGACCUGUCAAUAGCCGGCUUGUUACAGCGACAAUGAUCGGCUUAACCAACGGGAAAGAUCCACCCGCACGUACUGGAUUUUCACGAGAAAGGACACGGGAUAGCGAUGUCAACAUCGUUUCCUUUCCUCUUCUUAAUUCCGCAAAGAUCUCGCGUCAUCUUUCUUUCCGAAUUUAGCAGGGACACCGCCAAACGAGGGCUGAUUUACUGAUUAAUCGUUCGUGGGUCACACGAGACGCGUGCGUGACGAGAAGCUAGCUUGGUUAUCAGACAACGGAGGAGCGGCGUACAUCGGCUAUCGCUAAAACCACCGUCGCCAUCUCUUUUGCUUUCGUCUUCCGAGAAGCAAAACUGUACACCCGGCUAUCAACUGUACAACACACCUAUAUACGCAUAGCAACUUUA